UUACCUACGGGGGGCAGCAGUGGGGAAUAUUGCACAAUGGGGGAAACCCUGAUGCAGCGACGCCGCGUGAGUGAAGAAGUAUCUCGGUACGUAAAGCUCUAUCAACAGGGAAGAAAAAAAGUCUUUGGCUUUGGACGGUACCUGACUAAGAAGCCCCGGCUAACUACGUGCCAGCAGCCGCGGUAAUACGUAUGGGGCAAGCGUUAUCCGGAUUUACUGGGUGUAAAGGGAGCGCAGGCGGCUUGGCAAGUCUGAUGUGAAAGGCUGGGGCUCAACCCCAGGACUGCAUUGGAAACUGUUAGGCU
Molecule: ribosomal RNA, 305 nt
Filed under: uncultured bacterium
Lineage: Bacteria
Description: bacterial SSU rRNA
Rfam family: Bacterial small subunit ribosomal RNA
Source: RNAcentral